ACAAUGUACAUUGUGUUUAUUUCUUUAAUAGAAAAUCCUCAGUCUACAGUCCAAGCCAGUAGUGAUAGAUGUUAAAGCUACUGAAGCACUGCUCUAUCGUAUCAACCCAAACACUUAUAACAUUGAGAAAGCUACCAUUGAAUCAACACUAUUUGUACCACGGAGUGUUACUGGAGGAGAGGGGAAACUAUGGUUUGGAUUGGGUAAUGGAGUAUUGCGUGUGUACGAUAUGGAGGACAGGUGCUUUGACUCUGAUCUCAAGAUAAUGGACUCCAGGAGAGGAAAGACAGUCCGUGUGUCUUGUCUGUUGCUAGUGGAUUAUAACGUUUGGGUCGGAUCACUUAAUAAAACUAUUCAUAUUCUUGACGUGGAGACUCU
Amphimedon queenslandica is the source of this 378-nucleotide long non-coding RNA. RefSeq lists it as uncharacterized. NCBI's taxonomy places the organism in Eukaryota, Metazoa, Porifera, Demospongiae, Haplosclerida, Niphatidae. The transcript has 3 exons. The record is from RefSeq and is a predicted model, not a curated record.